Anthonomus grandis grandis is the source of this 1058-nucleotide long non-coding RNA. RefSeq lists it as uncharacterized. The transcript is spliced from 3 exons. NCBI's taxonomy places the organism in Eukaryota, Metazoa, Arthropoda, Insecta, Coleoptera, Curculionidae. The record is from RefSeq and is a predicted model, not a curated record.
ACUGCUGAUCCUUUCGUGAAAGUUCGUACGUCAAAUUUCGUUGCCGAUUAGCUACGGAAAUUGAAAAUCAAGGCAUUGGUUUUGUUUAACUUAACCUAUAUUGCAGAUUUUAUUUGCUUUGCUUGCUUCCUAAUAAUUGAUUUAAUUAUCAACAAUUAUAUCAAAUUUGCGACUAUUUGAGUGAAAAUUCAUAGUAUAUAGUGUUGAGUGUUUACUCCAUUAUCUAUACAAUCCAUAUCUGUGCUGGUUUUGGGCUCAAAAACAAACAAUUUCGUGUUUGAGUUUCAUUACCUUUCAAUAAACUUGCCAGUGUUUCUUAGUGCAUAACAUAGAGUAAUAAAAAGUAUUUUUAAUAUUCAUUUCUCUAUGGUGCAUAAUUUCCUUCCACUUAAACCAAUAUUUGCACUUAUCUGUUGCUGUUUGUUAGACAAUUAUGGCAUCACUAAGUCAACAAAAUGCAAUCUCUAAAGUUUGUGAUAAGGAAUUUUCAAGCACAUCUACCAGAAACAGGCAUUGGAAAAAGUUUCACCCUGAAUUUGUUGGGAAGGAAUAAAUAAAACACAUUAUAUGUCCAAUGUGUACUAAUGAUAUCCAGACAUUUUCAUAUUUUAACUGUUUAAACAAACAUUUGCUUAAUAUUCACCAUAUAAUUGUCAAAGAAUCAAUUUUAAAUUUUAGGAAUUUUGAAGAAUUCACAUCUUGGAGGGCACAAGAUAAUAGGGAAGUAGAUUAUGCUUGUCAGACCCAAAACAAGUUUAAGAAUGGGGAAGAACACAUAUUUUACAAUUGCAACUCGGAGCGAUAUCAGAGGAUUUAAUAGAGCGUGCAAAGUGAGAAGUCUGGGGGAAGCAUUUGCAUUCAAGGAACAUGUCAACAAGACCAAACUCAAAUAGCUAUCAGCAUAAAAAUGUAAUAGAAGCCAGAGGAGCGAGUUUGUUAUAGGUUCCCCAACUGUGAUUGAAGAGGAAGAGGAUAAUGUUUUAUUUGUUGAUCAACCCACAACUAGCAAUUAUCAGGAGGAUGUAAACCAUUUUAUUCAGGAGAGUUCAAAAAUGAAA